GGCAAUGUGGCUUAGUGGUUGAGUGUUUGCCUCGCAUGCAUGAAGUCCUGGGUUCGAUUCCUCAGUACCA
RNAcentral lists this transfer RNA (70 nucleotides) under Dipodomys ordii (Ord's kangaroo rat). It matches the Rfam family "tRNA". Rfam says of the family: Transfer RNA (tRNA) molecules are approximately 80 nucleotides in length. Their secondary structure includes four short double-helical elements and three loops (D, anti-codon, and T loops). The record is from Rfam by way of RNAcentral. Lineage: Eukaryota; Metazoa; Chordata; Mammalia; Rodentia; Heteromyidae.